This 748-nucleotide long non-coding RNA is filed under the name Rattus norvegicus (Norway rat). RNAcentral's name for it is "long non-coding RNA NONRATT001692". Lineage: Eukaryota; Metazoa; Chordata; Mammalia; Rodentia; Muridae. The record is from RNAcentral.
GUAGGAACUAUUAAAAAGUUUCUGAGUUUAAAACUAAAACUUCCAAGUUCUUAUGAGUUGGAUGUGCUGUGCAAUGGUGAAAUUAUGGGAAAGGAUCAUACUAUGGAAUUCAUCUAUAUGACAAGAUGGCGGCUAAGAGGAGAAAAUUCCUACCCGAUGGUAUUGCAGUAUCGACCAAGAAUUGAUUUCGGGUAGGCCCAGGCCCAGGCCUCGGCUGCACUGAAUGAAUCCUGCACUAUUUGUUUACUCGUCGACAGAUUGCACAGUGAAUGGUGUGUGGACUCGAGAGACACAAUCUGAUUUCAGCAUGCACAUAAGGCCAUUGUCUGUCUCAACUGUCAGUGUCCUUCAUGUUGUUUCUAUUAGGAGCCAUCCAAGUGCCCUUCCGCCACUGACCAUCUGCACAUAUUCAUGCUGUCUCAGUGUGCAAGGCACGGCCGGAGCGAGUGAGGUCCAGCCGCGACUCUGCUUUCUCAGUGUUUUGCUUGCCUGUUGCAAGGUUGUUCUAAUGUUAAUUACACUAGUAAAAUGGCUCAAUCCUUGUGGUGUUGCAGUUUUCACAUACUUAAUACUUUUAUUCUUAUUAAAAUAGAGUACUGUACAAGAACCUAGUAUAAUUAUAUCUUGAAAUUAUUUUGUAUAAGAAUAUAUUUAGAAAAGUGGUUUCUGAGCCACUGUCCUAUUCUUGGUAAACUUUUAUGUAAAAAAGAAUAAACAACCAAAAAAAAAAAAAAACCAAAAUGCCAGC